CAGUAGCCGCGGGAAUACAGAGGGUGCGAGCGUUAAUCGGAUUUACUGGGCGUAAAGCGUGCGUAGGCGGCUUCUUAAGUCGGAUGUGAAAUCCCUGAGCUUAACUUAGGAAUUGCAUUCGAUACUGGGAAGCUAGAGUAUGGGAGAGGAUGGUAGAAUUCCAGGUGUAGCGGUGAAAUGCGUAGAGAUCUGGAGGAAUACCGAUGGCGAAGGCAGCCAUCUGGCAUAAUACUGACGCUGAGGUACGAAAGCAUGGGGAGCAAACAGGAUUAGAUACCCCUGUAGUCCCUGUCUCUUAUAC
RNAcentral lists this ribosomal RNA (301 nucleotides) under uncultured bacterium. RNAcentral's name for it is "partial 16S ribosomal RNA". It matches the Rfam family "Bacterial small subunit ribosomal RNA", at positions 509 to 807 of the family's 1533-position model. The record is from RNAcentral.